UUUGGUUAAGUUAGAAAGGGCGCACGGUGGAUGCCUUGACACUAGGAGUCGAUGAAGGACGGGACUAACGCCGAUAUGCUUCGGGGAGCUGUAAGUAAGCUUUGAUCCGAAGAUUUCCGAAUGGGGAAACCCACCAUACGUAAUGGUAUGGUAUCCUUACCUGAAUACAUAGGGUAAGGAAGACAGACCCAGGGAACUGAAACAUCUAAGUACCUGGAGGAAGAGAAAGCAAAUGCGAUUUCCUGAGUAGCGGCGAGCGAAACGGAACAUAGCCCAAACCAAGAGGCUUGCCUCUUGGGUUGUAGGACAUUCUAUACGGAGUUACAAAGGAACGAGGUAGACGAAGCGACCUGGAAAGGUCCGUCGUAGAGGGUAACAACCCCGUAGUCGAAACUUCGUUCUCUCUUGAAUGUAUCCUGAGUACGGCGGAACACGUGAAAUUCCGUCGGAAUCUGGGAGGACCAUCUCCCAAGGCUAAAUACUCCCUAGUGAUCGAUAGUGAACCAGUACCGUGAGGGAAAGGUGAAAAGCACCCCGGAAGGGGAGUGAAAGAGAUCCUGAAACCGUGUGCCUACAAAUAGUCAGAGCCCGUUAAUGGGUGAUGGCGUGCCUUUUGUAGAAUGAACCGGCGAGUUACGAUCCCGUGCGAGGUUAAGCUGAAGAGGCGGAGCCGCAGCGAAAGCGAGUCUGAAUAGGGCGUUUAGUACGUGGUCGUAGACCCGAAACCAGGUGAUCUACCCAUGUCCAGGGUGAAGUUCAGGUAACACUGAAUGGAGGCCCGAACCCACGCACGUUGAAAAGUGCGGGGAUGAGGUGUGGGUAGCGGAGAAAUUCCAAUCGAACCUGGAGAUAGCUGGUUCUCCCCGAAAUAGCUUUAGGGCUAGCCUUAAGUGUAAGAGUCUUGGAGGUAGAGCACUGAUUGAACUAGGGGUCCUCAUCGGAUUACCGAAUUCAGUCAAACUCCGAAUGCCAAUGACUUAUCCUUAGGAGUCAGACUGCGAGUGAUAAGAUCCGUAGUCAAGAGGGAAACAGCCCAGAUCGCCAGCUAAGGUCCCAAAGUGUGUAUUAAGUGGAAAAGGAUGUGGAGUUGCUUAGACAACUAGGAUGUUGGCUUAGAAGCAGCCACCAUUUAAAGAGUGCGUAAUAGCUCACUAGUCGAGUGACUCUGCGCCGAAAAUGUACCGGGGCUAAAUACACCACCGAAGCUGCGAAUUGAUACCAAUGGUAUCAGUGGUAGGGGAGCGUUCUAAGUGCAGUGAAGUCAGACCGGAAGGACUGGUGGAGCGCUUAGAAGUGAGAAUGCCGGUAUGAGUAGCGAAAGACGGGUGAGAAUCCCGUCCACCGAAUGCCUAAGGUUUCCUGAGGAAGGCUCGUCCGCUCAGGGUUAGUCAGGACCUAAGCCGAGGCCGACAGGCGUAGGCGAUGGACAACAGGUUGAUAUUCCUGUACCACCUCUUUAUCGUUUGAGCAAUGGAGGGACGCAGAAGGAUAGAAGAAGCGUGCGAUUGGUUGUGCACGUCCAAGCAGUUAGGCUGAUAAGUAGGCAAAUCCGCUUAUCGUGAAGGCUGAGCUGUGAUGGGGAAGCUCCUUAUGGAGCGAAGUCUUUGAUUCCCCGCUGCCAAGAAAAGCUUCUAGCGAGAUAAAAGGUGCCUGUACCGCAAACCGACACAGGUAGGCGAGGAGAGAAUCCUAAGGUGUGCGAGAGAACUCUGGUUAAGGAACUCGGCAAAAUGACCCCGUAACUUCGGGAGAAGGGGUGCUUUCUUAACGGAAAGCCGAAUCCUAAGGUGUGCGAGAGAACUCUGGUUAAGGAACUCGGCAAAAUGACCCCGUAACUUCGGGAGAAGGGGUGCUUUCUUAACGGAAAGCCGCAGUGAAUAGGCCAAGCGACUGUUUAGCAAAAACACAGCUCUCUGCGAAGCCGUAAGGCGAAGUAUAGGGGUGACACCUGCCCGGUGCUGGAAGGUUAAGGAGAGGGGUUAGCGUAAGCGAAGCUCUGAACUGAAGCCCCAGUAAACGGCGGCCGUAACUAUAACGGUCCUAAGGUAGCGAAAUUCCUUGUCGGGUAAGUUCCGACCCGCACGAAAGGUGUAACGAUUUGGGCACUGUCUCAACCAGAGACUCGGUGAAAUUAUAGUACCUGUGAAGAUGCAGGUUACCCGCGACAGGACGGAAAGACCCCGUGGAGCUUUACUGUAGCCUGAUAUUGAAUUUUGGUACAGUUUGUACAGGAUAGGCGGGAGCCAUUGAAACCGGAGCGCUAGCUUCGGUGGAGGCGCUGGUGGGAUACCGCCCUGACUGUAUUGAAAUUCUAACCUACGGGUCUUAUCGACCCGGGAGACAGUGUCAGGUGGGCAGUUUGACUGGGGCGGUCGCCUCCUAAAGUGUAACGGAGGCGCCCAAAGGUUCCCUCAGAAUGGUUGGAAAUCAUUCGUAGAGUGCAAAGGCAUAAGGGAGCUUGACUGCGAGACCUACAAGUCGAGCAGGGACGAAAGUCGGGCUUAGUGAUCCGGUGGUUCCGCAUGGAAGGGCCAUCGCUCAACGGAUAAAAGCUACCCCGGGAUAACAGGCUUAUCUCCCCCAAGAGUCCACAUCGACGGGGAGGUUUGGCACCUCGAUGUCGGCUCAUCGCAUCCUGGGCUGUAGUCGGUCCCAAGGGUUGGGCUGUUCGCCCAUUAAAGCGGUACGCGAGCUGGGUUCAGAACGUCGUGAGACAGUUCGGUCCCUAUCCGUCGUGGGCGUAGGAAAUUUGAGAGGAGCUGUCCUUAGUACGAGAGGACCGGGAUGGACGCACCGCUGGUGUACCAGUUGUUCUGCCAAGGGCAUAGCUGGGUAGCUAUGUGCGGAAGGGAUAAGUGCUGAAAGCAUCUAAGCAUGAAGCCCCCUCAAGAUGAGAUUUCCCAUAGCGUAAGCUAGUAAGAUCCCUGAAAGAUGAUCAGGUUGAUAGGUUCGAGGUGGAAGCAUGGUGACAUGUGGAGCUGACGAAUACUAAUAGAUCGAGGACUUAACCAUAUAA
RNAcentral lists this ribosomal RNA (3016 nucleotides) under Bacillus mobilis. RNAcentral's name for it is "bacterial LSU rRNA". It matches the Rfam family "Bacterial large subunit ribosomal RNA". The record is from RNAcentral. Lineage: Bacteria; Bacillati; Bacillota; Bacilli; Caryophanales; Bacillaceae.